AUGGCUCAGAACGAACGCUGGUGGCGUGUCUUACACAUGCAAGUCGAGCGAGGCAGCAAUGCCGAGCGGCGAACGGGUGAGUAACGCGUAAGCAAUCUGCCCCAUAUCAGGAAAUACCCGUGCCAACGCGCGGUUAAUGUCCAGGAGAGUGGCCCUCUGCAUGGAGGGUUGACUAGAGAUUUAUCGGUAUGGGAUGAGCUUGCGUCCGAUUAGCUAGUUGGCGGGGCAACGGCCCACCAAGGCGACGAUCGGUAGCCGGCCUGAGAGGGUGAUCGGCCACAUUGGGACUGAGAUACGGCCCAGACUCCUACGGGAGGCAGCAGUAGGGAAUAUUGCACAAUGGGGGAAACCCUGAUGCAGCAACGCCACGUGUGGGAAGAAGCAUUUCGGUGUGUAAACCACUGUCAUGAGGGAAUAAGGCCCGCCUCCGGACGGGAUUGAAUGUACCUUGAGAGGAAGCACCGGCAAACUUCGUGCCAGCAGCCGC
RNAcentral lists this ribosomal RNA (487 nucleotides) under uncultured bacterium. RNAcentral describes it as "bacterial SSU rRNA". It matches the Rfam family "Bacterial small subunit ribosomal RNA", at positions 19 to 518 of the family's 1533-position model. The record is from RNAcentral.